AAGAUUCUAGUAAAACAUAUUACACUGCCUUGUCAAGACAAAAUUGUGAGUUUAAAUCUCACGAAUCUUAUCUCA
This 75-nucleotide transfer RNA is filed under the name Heterodontus francisci (horn shark). RNAcentral's name for it is "tRNA-Asp". It matches the Rfam family "tRNA". Rfam says of the family: Transfer RNA (tRNA) molecules are approximately 80 nucleotides in length. Lineage: Eukaryota; Metazoa; Chordata; Chondrichthyes; Heterodontiformes; Heterodontidae. The record is from RNAcentral.